RNAcentral lists this transfer RNA (69 nucleotides) under Chrysomeloidea sp. 4 KM-2017. RNAcentral's name for it is "tRNA-Val". The record is from RNAcentral. Lineage: Eukaryota; Metazoa; Arthropoda; Insecta; Coleoptera.
UGAAUUAGAGCUUGAAAUAAGUUUUUUAUUUACACUAAAAAGGUUAAUUGUUUAAUCAAUUUAAUUCAA